CUGAGACAGACCCACAUUCAGAUCCACAAACCACUGCUGAGGACGCGUCCACCAGCCUGGUCCUGGUCCCAUUAGAGUCCUGUUAGGGUCCUGGUGACUCCUGGUAGUCUUAGUGCAUCCUGGUAGUUCUUGGGAGUUCCUGGUCAGUCCUUGUGGUUUUUAGUAGUUCUUGGCUUUUCCUGGUGUUCCUGGUGGUUUCUGUUAGUGGGUUGCUGGCAGUUCCCUGGUGGUCCUUGGUGGAUCCUGGUUUUCCCUGGUGGUUCCUAGUGGGUCCCUGUGGUUCUUGGAGGUUCAGAGAUGCUCGGUGGAGACGUGGUGGCGGUCUGGGACGUGGAUCUGAGCGAUGGCGUCUACAGGAUCGAAUUCGCUCAUGGGACGACAACGGGAAAGCGGAUCGUUUAUGUGAAUGGAAAGGAAGUCAUCAGGAAAGACUGGAUGUUCAAACUGGUUGGGAGGGAGACGUUUAUGGUUGGACGUUGUCAAACUAAAGCGUCCAUCAACAUCGAGGCGGUCGGAGGAUUCGCCUACGAAUACUCACUAAAUGUGGACGGGAAGAGUCUGCAGAAGUUCGUCGAUGACCGAGCCAAGUCCACCAACACCUGGGUGGUCAACGUGGACGGACAGGACUUCAGGAUUGUCCUCGAAAAAGACACGAUGGACGUCUGGUGUAACGGACAGAAAAUGGACGCGACGGGGGAGUUUGUGGACGAUGGCACCGAGACGCACUUUACCAUUGGAGAACAUGACUGUUGUAUCAAGGUGGGGACCGGGACCGGGACCGGGAAGAAGAAGAAGAACGGCAUCGUCCACUGUUUACUACUGGAUGGACAGAAAAUACCAGCAUCGACACAAUAGAGCUGAGACCAGGGUCUGAGGUCUAGACCAGGAUUUAAGGACAAGACCGGGAUCUGAGGUCUAGACCAGGAUUUAAGGACAAGACCAGGAUCUGGGGUCUAGACCAGGAUUUAAGGACAAGACCAGGAUCUGAGGUCUAGACCAGGAUUUCAGGACUAGACCAGGAUCUAAGGUCUAGACCAGGAUUAAAGGACUAGACCAGGAUAUGAGGACUAGACCAGGAUAUGAGGACCAGACCAGGAUUUGAAGACUAGACAUGGAUCUGAGGACUCCAUCUCGAACUGUGGGGAAGUCUGGGUUUUGCAUUUUACCCAUCCUGCUACACAUAGUGCCUAGCAUUAGCAUUGGCAUUAGCAUUAGCAGAUUAGCCUAUGAUUUCAUACAUUCAGUUUCCAGUCAAUAUCAUAUCCACUGUCCAUCCACAUUCAGUGGGUCUCAUGCAAGAAACUAUAUAUGAACAACCUCACUUUUUUUUUUGUUUGUAUCAUACAUAUGACCUUAUUUUUUUUCUUAGUUUGCCCUAAAAGAAAACAGACAAAUGGAAUAUACAUAAAGUAAAAAAGCAGUAAAAUAAAUGAUUGAAACAAGUGAAAAAAUAAAUAAAUUGGAA
RNA transcript from Sphaeramia orbicularis (orbiculate cardinalfish), 1465 nucleotides. It is a transcript of the gene named fas apoptotic inhibitory molecule 1-like, with no coding region annotated. The record is from RefSeq and is a predicted model, not a curated record. Lineage: Eukaryota; Metazoa; Chordata; Actinopteri; Kurtiformes; Apogonidae. The transcript has 5 exons.